RNAcentral lists this transfer RNA (87 nucleotides) under bacterium. RNAcentral's name for it is "tRNA-Leu". It matches the Rfam family "tRNA". From Rfam's summary of the family: Transfer RNA (tRNA) molecules are approximately 80 nucleotides in length. Their secondary structure includes four short double-helical elements and three loops (D, anti-codon, and T loops). Further hydrogen bonds mediate the characteristic L-shaped molecular structure. tRNAs have two regions of fundamental functional importance: the anti-codon, which is responsible for specific mRNA codon recognition, and the 3' end, to which the tRNAs corresponding amino acid is attached (by aminoacyl-tRNA synthetases). tRNAs cope with the degeneracy of the genetic code in two manners: having more than one tRNA (with a specific anti-codon) for a particular amino acid; and 'wobble' base-pairing, i.e. permitting non-standard base-pairing at the 3rd anti-codon position. The record is from RNAcentral.
GCCGCGGUGCUGAAAUUGGUAUACAGGCCAGCUUGAGGUGCUGGUGCUCGUAAGAGCGUGUGGGUUCAAGUCCCACUCGCGGCACCA